UACAGAGGUCUCAAGCGUUGUUCGGAUUCAUUGGGCGUAAAGGGUGUGUAGGUGGCGCCGUAAGUCAGGUGUGAAAUCUCGGGGCUUAACUCCGAAACUGCAUUUGAUACUGCGGUGCUUGAGGACUGGAGAGGAGACUGGAAUUUAUGGUGUAGCAGUGAAAUGCGUAGAUAUCAUAAGGAAGACCAGUGGCGAAGGCGGGUCUCUGGACAGUUCCUGACACUGAGACACGAAGGCCAGGGGAGCAAACGGG
Molecule: ribosomal RNA, 253 nt
Filed under: uncultured bacterium
Lineage: Bacteria
Also listed under: 2 other names
Description: partial 16S ribosomal RNA
Rfam family: Bacterial small subunit ribosomal RNA
Source: RNAcentral